Molecule: unclassified non-coding RNA, 275 nt
Filed under: Tomentella sp.
Lineage: Eukaryota; Fungi; Basidiomycota; Agaricomycetes; Thelephorales; Thelephoraceae
Description: partial internal transcribed spacer region
Rfam family: Eukaryotic small subunit ribosomal RNA (bases 1-46)
Source: RNAcentral
AAGUCGUAACAAGGUUUCCGUAGGUGAACCUGCGGAAGGAUCAUUACUGAACUGUCAACACGAGUUGUUGCUGGUCCUCAAACGGGGACAUGUGCACGCUCUGUUUACAUACCCACUCACACCUGUGCACCCUCUGUAGUUCCGUGGUGCGGGGGGCUCUGUCCUCCUGCCGUGGUUCUAUGUCUUUACAUACACACAGUGAUAAAGUCUUAUGGAAUGUAUGUCGCGUUUAACGCAAUACAAUACAACUUUCAGCAACGGAUCUCUUGGCUCUC